Molecule: ribosomal RNA, 510 nt
Filed under: uncultured bacterium
Lineage: Bacteria
Description: partial 16S ribosomal RNA
Rfam family: Bacterial small subunit ribosomal RNA
Source: RNAcentral
GACGAACGCUGGCGGCGUGCUUAACACAUGCAAGUCGAACGAAGAGCGAUGGAAGCUUGCUUCUAUCAAUCUUAGUGGCGAACGGGUGAGUAACGCGUAAUCAACCUGCCCUUCAGAGGGGGACAACAGUUGGAAACGACUGCUAAUACCGCAUACGAUCUAAUCUCGGCAUCGAGGAUAGAUGAAAGGUGGCCUCUACAUGUAAGCUAUCACUGAAGGAGGGGAUUGCGUCUGAUUAGCUAGUUGGAGGGGUAACGGCCCACCAAGGCGAUGAUCAGUAGCCGGUCUGAGAGGAUGAACGGCCACAUUGGGACUGAGACACGGCCCAGACUCCUACGGGAGGCAGCAGUGGGGAAUCUUCCGCAAUGGACGAAAGUCUGACGGAGCAACGCCGCGUGAGCGAUGACGGCCUUCGGGUUGUAAAGCUCUGUUAAUCGGGACGAAAGGCCUCCUUGCGAAUAGUGAGAAGGAUUGACGGUACCGGAAGAGAAAGCCACGGCUAACUACGUG